UCUGUUCUGUUUUGUUUGAUUAAUAGUUGUCUGUUAAACUAUAAAGCAUUUUUUUAAUAAUCUAAAUUGGUUAGAUGUAAAAUUCAAAAAUAAUGUAUGUGUUGGUUUUAAAUGUAGGUUUCUGUAUGUUUAAUACUUGAAUUCAACAAAGAUGAGUGGUUGUGAUAAAACAGAGGAAGAUCAAUUCUUUGACAGCCACGAUGAGAUCAUUUCUAUGUCCAACUUGGGUUUUGAAUGCCUUGAGUUCUGUUCGAGUUCUCAUGCUUUUCGGUAAAGCUUCGCCACAAUGUCUCAAGAAGGGGUUUAUAGUGUUCAGCACUGGCUAAUCAUGUGGAUGAGGAUAAUGAGCUACAUAAUAUAGAAGACGAGAGUGGUAGAUAUCCUAUCAAGGAGACUGGAUUACAUGAUGGAAGUAAAGAUACUAAUUGUGGCCAUGAUCAACUUGAAGAGACUGUGUAGAACUUAGUUUCACAAUGAAUAUUUAAAGUAUCAGUUUGUGGAUAUAAAGAAAGAUACUUGAUUCUGGCGAGCCUGGAAAACGAAAUAAAGCUGUGGAGCUAGACCAUUUGGCGUCCAAUAAUGAUGUCAGAGAGCUUCAUGAAAAAUUAGAAUCUUCGAAAAGAGAACUUCUAGAGGAAAGACAAACUCAGGGUGUUGUAGAGGAACCUCUAAAACAUCUUGGAGCAGCACACUCAGAGGCAUAUACAAAUGUUCAAGAGCUUUCUACCUAAGUUGCUAAAGCUCAACAGAAGAUGGACCACGAAAGAAAAGAUCGUGAUAA
This is a long non-coding RNA of Olea europaea var. sylvestris, 781 nucleotides long. RefSeq lists it as uncharacterized. NCBI's taxonomy places the organism in Eukaryota, Viridiplantae, Streptophyta, Magnoliopsida, Lamiales, Oleaceae. The transcript is spliced from 3 exons. The record is from RefSeq and is a predicted model, not a curated record.